Molecule: ribosomal RNA, 460 nt
Filed under: uncultured bacterium
Lineage: Bacteria
Description: bacterial SSU rRNA
Rfam family: Bacterial small subunit ribosomal RNA
Source: RNAcentral
AUAAACGCUGGCGGCGUGCCUUACGCAUGCAAGUCGAACGGACGUCAGGGUUUCGGCCUUGGCGUUAGUGGCGGACGGGUGAGUAACACGUAUGCAACCUGUCCAGAAGCGGGGAAUAACCCUUCGAAAGGAGGGCUAAUACCGCGUAUGGUCGCCGGUGAAAGACCGGUGGACAAAAGCCUUCGGGCGCUUCUGGAGGGGCGUGCGGCCGAUUAGCUAGUUGGUGGGGUAACGGCUCACCAAGGCGACGAUCGGUAGCUGGUCUGAGAGGACGGCCAGCCACACGGGGACUGAGACACGGCCCCGACUCCUACGGGAGGCAGCAGCGAGGAAUUUUGCGCAAUGGGCGAAAGCCUGACGCAGCAACGCCGCGUGGGGGAUGAAGGCCUUCGGGUCGUAAACCCCUUUUGCAGGGGAAGUAACUGACGGUACCCUGCGAAUAAGCCACGGCUAACUACGU